This is a non-coding RNA of Paramuricea clavata, 722 nucleotides long. Lineage: Eukaryota; Metazoa; Cnidaria; Anthozoa; Malacalcyonacea; Plexauridae. The record is from the annotation of a GenBank genome assembly.
UGCAUCUGUGAAGAGAAAAAUUGAGGAAUCAAAACACCCACUUGUUCUUUCACUGAUGUCAGACGAAAUGAGCAUCAAAAAACGAAUUGAGUGGGAUGGCAGGCAAUAUGUUGGUUUUGUAAAUUUGGGGUAAACUAUAGAUGAUGACACCCUGCCAGUUACAGGCAAUGCCUUAGUUUAUCUUCUUCUGCCAUUGAACAGCAGUUGGAAAGUACCAAUUGCAUAUUACUUAACAGAUGGGCUUUCUGGGGCGGUUCUGGCCAACCUAACAAAAAAAUUUAUUGACACACUUACAUGACAAUUCAAUUGAUGUGUGUGUUUUGGUGUGUGAUGGUUGUGGGGGCAAUCAGAACAUGCUAUCUGAACUUGGGGUUCAUAUAUCAUACCCAUUAAUCACAUCAUUUUCCCCCCAUCCUGCAGAUGGACCAAAGAAAGUUUUUGUAUUGUUAGACAACUGCCAGAUGUUUAAACUAAGGAACAUGCUUGCACAGUACAAGAACAUCAGAAAUGGGCUAACAGGAGGCACAAUAAGCUGGGACACAUAAUAUGCAACAUAAGUUGCAACAAGAUGAAGGGCUACAUUUGGCUAAUAAACUAAAAUGCAACCAUUUAGAAUUUGCAAGUCAAAAAAUGAGGAUGAAUCUCAGUCCAGACACUUAGUAACUCAACUGCACAAGCAUUGCUUUGUUUGAAAGAUCUAGGAUAUGCCAAAUUUCAGGACU